RNAcentral lists this non-coding RNA (181 nucleotides) under Planifilum fimeticola. RNAcentral's name for it is "6S / SsrS RNA". It matches the Rfam family "6S / SsrS RNA". From Rfam's summary of the family: E. coli 6S RNA was the first non coding RNA to be sequenced, but its function was unknown until recently. It consists of 184 nucleotides that fold into an extended hairpin structure with a large single-stranded internal bulge. The 6S RNA specifically associates with RNA polymerase holoenzyme containing the sigma70 specificity factor. The record is from RNAcentral. Lineage: Bacteria; Bacillati; Bacillota; Bacilli; Caryophanales; Thermoactinomycetaceae.
GGAGCCCUGCUAUGUGCGUUAACCCCUGAAAGUUUUGAGCCAACACCCAUACAAAGGGAGCCCGGGGUCAUUUGUGGGCGCGGAAGCCUCGUGAGAGAGGACCCGCAAACACAGGUGCAGGGCACCCACCUGCGAGAGAGCAGGUUCAAAACUGAGGGAGCCACGGCAUAACGGGGCUCUU